This 252-nucleotide long non-coding RNA is filed under the name Mytilus galloprovincialis (Mediterranean mussel). The record is from RNAcentral. Lineage: Eukaryota; Metazoa; Mollusca; Bivalvia; Mytilida; Mytilidae.
UUAAACUAUAAGUAAUAGGUCAACUAUAUAUGUUGUAUAGAAGCAUUGUUAGCUGUACAUGUCUGCCUGGCAUGGUUCAUCUGACCUUGACCUCAUUUUCAAGGUUCAUUGGUCUUUGUUUAGUUAUCUUGGUUAAUGUUAAGUUUAUGUGACAGUUGUAAUAAAGCUUUAUACUUAGGACUAUCAACAUAAUAUCAAUGAUUAGUAUAGAAGGCGAGACAUUUCAGCGUGUGCACUCUUGUUUUUUUAUAA